Grammomys surdaster is the source of this 160-nucleotide small nuclear RNA. RefSeq annotates it as U1 spliceosomal RNA. The record is from RefSeq and is a predicted model, not a curated record. The transcript has a single exon. NCBI's taxonomy places the organism in Eukaryota, Metazoa, Chordata, Mammalia, Rodentia, Muridae.
AUACUGACCUGGUAGCGGAGAUACCAUUACCACAAAGAUGGCUUUCCCAGGGUAAGGCUUAUCCAUGGUACUCCAGGUGUGCUGGCCUCCACAGUCUCCCCAAAUUCAGGAACCUCAGCCAUAUUAUUGGAGUAGUGGCGCGCAUUUGUGUGUGUGUGUG